This 253-nucleotide ribosomal RNA is filed under the name uncultured bacterium. Its description in RNAcentral is "partial 16S ribosomal RNA". It matches the Rfam family "Bacterial small subunit ribosomal RNA", at positions 524 to 776 of the family's 1533-position model. The record is from RNAcentral.
UACGGGGGGGGCAAGCGUUGUUCGGAAUUCCUGGGCGUAAAGGGCUCGUAGGCGGCCAACUAAGUCCGACGUGAAAUCCCAAGGCUUAACCUUGGAACUGCGUCGGAUACUGGAUGGCUUGAAUUCGGGAGAGGGAUGCAGAAUUCCAGGUGUAGCGGUGAAAUGCGUAGAUAUCUGGAGGAAUACCGGUGGCGAAGGCGGCAUCCUGGACCGACAUUGACGCUGAUGAGCGAAAGCUAGGGGAGCAAACGGG